GUGUAUGGCAUUGAAAACUUCCCAACAUACCUAUAGUACAUGUGAUAUGUAUCUAAGUUUACAUCUACUAUUGUACAUAAUGCUGACAAGUUUUCUGCAUUCCCAUUAGGUGUAUGAAUUUGGAAGUUAUUACCCUACCUACAUACCUAUGGAAUGAUGUGUAUGUUAUGUGUACAAAUUCACUCUUCAUGUGAUAUGUAUUCAUUUUGGCAUCUAUUAUUGUACAUAAUGUUUAAAAAUUUGCUGCAUUCCUAUUGGAUGUAUGAUCUUGAAAGUUAUACCUUCCUUACAUACCUAUAGAAUGUUGUAUGUUGUGAGUCAUAGCAUGUUCACACUUGUGACUUGUGAUACUGUGUAUAACAAUUCACUCUUCAUGUGAUAUGUAUCCAUUUUUUACAUCUAUUAUUUCUGAUACAAGUGUGAAGUUAAAAAUAAUGCCAAGAUUUGCUAAAUGUGAUAACGACGCCCAUUAUUUUGCAACGCCGGUUCUCGGCUGCCACCAACCAUGUCCUGCCACCAAAAUCAACUGGAUUUUGGUGAUAUUAAGGAGAUGACAGAGUUCAUUGUUUUCUGCUGCAUCAGUCCCUAGCAACGAGAGUUUUUCCACUGCGCAGAGCCAUAGUUUUCUUCAACUGUCUCAACUCUCAAGCCAUAUCUUUAAUAAAUUUUGGACUUACUGUGAAAUUUAACAUUUUAAUUUUAAUUUAAAAAUUUAAGUGUUUUGUAUAAUAAUUUAAAAAUAUAAAAACUAACAAAAAAUUAUAUAUUAAUAAUUUUAAAAUAAAAUUCGUCAAAAAAUUAAUAAUUUUAAAAUAAAUAACAAUUUUUAAUAUUAGAUAAAUCGUACACAGUUAAUUUUCUCUCAUUCUCAUGAAUUAAACAUGAUUAAAGUCAUGCAUUUUAAUUACAAACAACACCAACAACAAUAUACACAAUACCCGGUAGUAUAUGUUGUAAAGAAUACACGUUUCUCUCAUUUUUCAGAUAGUAAAUAUGAAUUUUAGAGUCAUGCAUGUAAUGAGAGAAUGAAUAUUAUAUAUGAUUAAAAUAUAGAGAGAUUGUAAAUUUUAACAUUUUUUAUUUAUUUAUUUUAUGAAACUUUUAUUGCAUUUAUGUAUCUAUUUUCUAUAAAAACAACUUAUUAUAUUUAAUUAAUUGCAUACAAUUUUGUAAGGUUCUACUACCUCAAUUUCAUCUUAAGAUUCGUUGCAUAAUUAAUUUAUCUGAUCUAUAAUACUCCCUCCGUCCUAAAUUAUAAGAGAAAAAAUCUCAUUUUUUUGUCUCAAAUUAUAAAGGAAAAAAUGAUUUUCAAGAAUGUUUUUUCCUUAUUCUCGUAAAAUUAAAUGCAAAAUGCAUUUAAUUUUUUAUCUCUCCCAUUUUCUCAAUAAACAACAACCAAUAAAAAUUGUUUUUACAUCUUCCUAUGCAAUUUAUUCCAAGGAAAACCCACAAAAAUAUAUUUCAAAUUAUCAUGUUUUACUUUUUCUUAAUAAGUGUAAUUUUUUUAUUUUUCCUUAUAAUUUGGGACGGAGAGAGUAUAGAUACAAUAAAUCUAAAAAAAUAAAAACGGUUAGAUAGAAUGAAAUUUUGGACUGAUUUCCUAAAACUUAACCGCGUAUAUCAACAUAUUAAGAGACACGAUGUGCACUUUAAGCUCACUUAUAAAAAGUCUCCGUCUAAUAUUAACGAAUUAUAUAUAAUAAAAUAUAUUCUUUUUUUUUUACAAUAAUUAAAAAUAUUCAUGUACCAAAUCAUAUAUUAACAUUUUUAGUCAAACAAAAACUCAUAUAUUAAUAUUAUGUGCAUUUUUUGUUUUUGGGAUUAAGACAUACACGUGCAUUUUACUUCUAUAUUGAUUAACCAAAGUAUAAAUAUAGCAUUCACCCAAAAAAAAAAAAGUUCAAUUUGGUCCCUUAUAUUACUUAUUUCAACUUAAGUUGGUCCUUUUUAUUAAAUUUUGAGUUAAUUUUGUCUAAAACUUCCACUUGACACUCACAUAAGGUGUCCACGUAUGCAAAUUUGUUAGUUACAUGGAUGAUUUAAACUGAAAUUUUACUAAAACGACUAAAUUGAAACUUUUUAAAUUUAAGGGACCAAAUUAAAAUCUAACAUAUCAUAAAUGAUCAAAUAUGUAAUUAUACCUUUGAAUUUUGAUACAUUAUUUAUGGAAUAACCUCUCGCCCAUUUAGGACAAACAUGACUGUUUAUGAUAAAAAAAAUUGAAAAAAGGAAUGGUAUAAACAUGGAACUUGUACCACAUUAGGAGUAUUUGAUUAAUUUCAACUCACCUUGAAACUGUAUUACACCCAUAAUGUAACAUCAGUACUAGAAGCAAAAUGUAUUACUGCAGAGCCUAUUACAACAGAAGGAGGAUUAAUAAUGCUAUAAUGGUUUGUGAGUUUGGCAACUUACUAGUUGAAAUUCACUUGUAUUUGAAUAACAUUAUAUAUUAUAUAUACCAUGUCAUCUGUGGAACUCGAGUGUUUUUAGCAUAGCUUUGGUGUUUCAAUCUUUAUCUUUGAUACACGUAUUUUGUAUGAAUACUGAUCUUUGAUACACGUAAUUUGUCCAUAAGUUCAUUGACAAUUGCAAGUGUAGAAUGAUCGAUCAUAAAUGAGAGUAUAGUUUUAGCCAUAGUUUUAAAAAUCGAAUCGGACUGGCUGGUCUGACCGGUACAGCCGGAAACCGGUAACGUGAGCGGUCCGAUAAGCUGCAGAACCGGUUCUGCAAAUAACUCGCGACAACUCGUCUUGAACCAGCCAGUUCAUCGGUUGAACCGGGAACCGUUAAAACCCGUCCGUGCGCGAACCGAACCGGUUUGGGGAGAGAACAAACAUUUCAAAAUACUCCCAAAUUUGUUGUACAUAGGAAAUCGUGACUAGAACCACUUGGCCACAUGAAUUUAUGUGAUAUUAUAUCAUUGAAUUAUAGUUAAUAUUAGUUAAGAAACACCAUGACAUGUAUUAAUAAAUACAUUGAUCAUUUUUUCCUUGUUAUUUUAAAUUUGAUUUUCAUACACCAUGACAUGUAUUAACAAAAUUAUGAUAUAAUAAUAUUUUAAUUUAGUCAAUAAAAUAUUAUAAUUUAUUUAAAAUAUAAUUAUAGCAUAAUUGUGUUUUUUCUUUUAAAUACAUAAAAUUUUAUUGAAAACAAGUUUGAAAGGAUUUUUUUUUAUUAAAUUUUAUUGUUACGAAAUUCAAGUCAAUAUAUUUAAAUAUUUUAUAUAAGUCGGGUCAAUAGUCAUGUGGUCUGACCAGUGAAUCAUGGUCUGAUCGGUGAACCAGUGACCGAGUGUCUUGGCCGGAUUGAUUACUGGUCCGGGUUUUAAAACAUUGGUUUUAGCAUAUAUANNNNNNNNNNNNNNNNNNNNNNNNNNNNNNNNNNNNNNNNNAUAUAUAUAUAUAUAUAUAUAUAUAUAUAUAUAUAUAUAUAUACACACAAUAUGUGUGAUGAUUUUAUUUUUUUUUACAAGUAACAACUCAAACCAUUUUCAUUAAUCAUUUCUUAGAAUGUAUACAUUAUCUUAAAUGACAUAUGAUAUGAGACAAUGGUCGAGAUUUCUAAAACAAUCUCAUAUAAAAUCUCAAAUUUCAUUGAAAUUUUUUACAAGCAUCAUCAAAAUAAUGUACAUAUAUAUGAUGAGUUUUGAAUUAAAACUCAAUCUCUAAUGAAAAUUUUUUUCUCGUGUUAAAACUCAUUUAUUGUAAUUUCAUUAAAAUAUAUAUAUAGAAAGAGAUGACGGCUUUGGCGCCGAGCCUAUGCAUGUCGUGAGGCAGCAAGGAGUGUGCUGAACUAUUAACAUGUUGACUGGAAAGGAACCACAGUAAAGAGUGAAAGAAAACAUCAGUGAACUGGAAUUUGCACCACGCCAAUCGGCGUCAAUGACAGAGUAAAACCUACAAAUUUGGUGAUUCACAUAUGCAAAUUUGGUGUGUUCUACAUACUUUCAAGGGAAAUAUGCGAAGACUCCUCUCUUAACUAGCAGUUUAAAAUUAGUUGUCUUUUGUAUGGUAUGAAAAAGUGCUUAGUUCUCUUGUUUGGAAAUCAAUGACUAUAAUUAUUUAUAGAUGUUUUCUCAACCGAUCUUCGCCUUUCUUUUCUACCCCAAACUGAUGUUUUUGCCCUUGGGGUACUUCGGUUUGUACAAACCGAAGUUUGUAGAAACACCGAUCUCACUCUCUCUCUCACGUGUAACAACAAAACAAAGCAACCUCCAUAACUAUUUUUGUGAGUUCCACAAAAAUGGAUACUUUAAGCAAUCCUUAUCUCAAAACACCAAACCUCCUUCAUUAAAACCUUCACCAUUUUUCAUUCUCUACAACAUGAACCUAACUUUAUUCCUUAACUCCAUCAAUUAAGAUUUUUGAAUUUCUUCUUCCAAGUUUUUUCGGUUUCUAAAAACCGAAGUAUGUGUUUUUCGGUUCGUAUAAACCGAAUCGUUAACAUCAUCACGAUGAUAUUUAACAUUAACCUGAAGAGGGGUAUCCCGGAUUAGCUGAUUGUGUUCCAAACUUUUCGGUUCGUAAAAACCGAAAUUGUUUGUUCCAAUUUUUGUGAAAUUUGAAGGGCAAAAUGAGAUUUUAGGGGGUAUAAAAGAAAGUCUGAGGGUCGGAAGAGAAAACAUCUUAUCUAUAGAGUAAGCGCCAUUAAUUUUGUUCUUGAACUUCCACCCUCCCUCUUACCUUGUUCCUCAAGUAAAUGAAGAUGAUAAGUAAUCACUAACGGUUCGUCAUAUUUUAUUUAUUUGAGGAACAAAAUAAGAAAGAGGGUGCAAGUUAAUGGAUAGAAUUGGUAGAUUACUCAUUUAUAUUAUAGUACAUGGUAUUGAAAGCUUGCCAACCUACCUAUAGAAUGUUUUAUGAUGUGGUACAUGGUAUGUGUACAAAUUCACCCUUCAUGUGAUAUGUAUCUAUUUUUUCAUCUACUAUUGUAUAUAAUGCUGACAAGUUUACUGCAUUCCCAUUAGGUGUAUGAUAUUGAAAGUUAUUACCCUCCCUACAGAAUGAUGUGUAUGUUAUGUGUACAAAUUCACUCUUCAUGUGAUAUGUAUCCAUUUUGGCAUCUAUUAUUGUACAU
This 5076-nucleotide long non-coding RNA is filed under the name Trifolium pratense (red clover). RNAcentral's name for it is "long non-coding RNA (TPRA_LNC003443)". The record is from RNAcentral. Lineage: Eukaryota; Viridiplantae; Streptophyta; Magnoliopsida; Fabales; Fabaceae.